UGGGGAAUCUUAGACAAUGGGCGCAAGCCUGAUCUAGCCAUGCCGCGUGUGUGAUGAAGGCCUUAGGGUCGUAAAGCACUUUCGCCAGGGAUGAUAAUGACAGUACCUGGUAAAGAAACCCCGGCUAACUCCGUGCCAGCAGCCGCGGUAAUACGGAGGGGGUUAGCGUUGUUCGGAAUUACUGGGCGUAAAGCGCACGUAGGCGGAUUAGAAAGUUGGGGGUGAAAUCCCGGGGCUCAACCCCGGAACUGCCUCCAAAACUCCUAGUCUAGAGUUCGAGAGAGGUGAGUGGAAUUCCGAGUGUAGAGGUGAAAUUCGUAGAUAUUCGGAGGAACACCAGUGGCGAAGGCGGCUCACUGGCUCGAUACUGACGCUGAGGUGCGAAAGUGUGGGGAGCAAACAGGAUUAGAUACCCUGGUAGUCCACACCGUAAAACGAUGAAUGUCCAGUCGUCGGAUAGUAUACUAUUCGGUGACAC
Molecule: ribosomal RNA, 478 nt
Filed under: uncultured bacterium
Lineage: Bacteria
Description: bacterial SSU rRNA
Rfam family: Bacterial small subunit ribosomal RNA
Source: RNAcentral